This 347-nucleotide unclassified non-coding RNA is filed under the name plant metagenome. Its description in RNAcentral is "partial contains small subunit ribosomal RNA, internal transcribed spacer 1, and 5.8S ribosomal RNA". The record is from RNAcentral.
UUUCCGUAGGUGAACCUGCGGAAGGAUCAUUACUAACGUAUCCACGUGUAAACCAAAAACAGUUGAAUUUUGUUCGAAAACAUAUUCGUCCGUUAGGCUGGGAAUGAGUUGAUUUGGAGAUGUUUCUAUCUAUAUGAGAGAAAAUGUACAUCUCUGGUUGACUUCGGGCCUUCACGGGCUUACCCUACCUAGUUCGCGAAUUAAAAUAUAUCAAAAACAUUAAACUCAUAUUUUAACCCAUUUCACCCUAUUCUUUUAAAUGAACUUAACCUGAAUUCAUUAGAAAUAAUGAGUUUGAAAAAAUACGAAAUUAAGAACAACUCUUAACAACGGAUAUCUUGGCUCUC